CACCAUGUUACAGACGACACCAGCCCAACGUAUCAAUAAUCUACGAUCAAUGGACCAAAGAUUCUCAACCAGGAAGUCACCAGAUGCCUUCAAGUUGUGACGGUUCUGCUCGAUCAUCUCUGUGUCGUCAUUACUGUAAGUUUUCAUCUGACCCACAAAUGAUAAACAUUAACAGAAGGAAUGAGGAAAAUCUAGUUUUAUUUACAACAUCUCAUGAAGUAGGGCCAAAUAAAAUCCAUUUGAUUUAUAUUUUAUUACUUUUUAACUCCUGUAAGGAAACAAAAUUAAAAACAAACGUAAGUAAAAUGUAAUUCAAAAUAAUGUGUAAGCUCCAAUUCAAAGUAGGGCUGGGCGAUAUGGACCAAAACCCAUUUCUCAAUAUUUUUUUUCUCAACUUGUCGAUGUUUGAUAUAAACUUUGAUAUUUUUAAACUCAAUAAAGUCUGACCACAAAGACA
Molecule: long non-coding RNA, 457 nt
Filed under: Gouania willdenowi (blunt-snouted clingfish)
Lineage: Eukaryota; Metazoa; Chordata; Actinopteri; Blenniiformes; Gobiesocidae
Description: lncRNA (ENSGWIG00000011472.1)
Source: RNAcentral